GUAGGUGGCAAGCGUUGUCCGGAAUUAUUGGGCGUAAAGCGCGCGCAGGCGGUCCUUUAAGUCUGAUGUGAAAGCCCACGGCUCAACCGUGGAGGGUCAUUGGAAACUGGGGGACUUGAGUACAGAAGAGGAGAGCGGAAUUCCAAGUGUAGCGGUGAAAUGCGUAGAGAUUUGGAGGAACACCAGUGGCGAAGGCGGCUUUCUGGUCUGUAACUGACGCUGAGGCGCGAAAGCGUGGGGAGCAAACAGGGAUUAGAUACCCUGGUAGUCCACGCCGUAAACGAUGAGUGCUAAGUGUUAGGGGGUUUCCGCCCCCUUAGUGCUGCAGCUAACGCAUUAAGCACUCCGCCUGGGGAGUACGGCCGCAAGGCUG
This 373-nucleotide ribosomal RNA is filed under the name uncultured organism. RNAcentral's name for it is "partial 16S ribosomal RNA". It matches the Rfam family "Bacterial small subunit ribosomal RNA", at positions 527 to 896 of the family's 1533-position model. The record is from RNAcentral.